UUGUGGACUGGAACCGGCGGUGGAUGGACUAUCUUCGGCGGUUUGGGCGGAUAAGACUUCUUAGGCGGUGGUUUGUGCACUGGCACCGGCGGUGGAUCAACUUUCUUCGGCGGCUUAGGUGGGCAUGGCUUCUUGGGGAUUGGCGGUGGCUUGUGUACCGGAACCGGGGGUGGGUGCUCUAUCUUUGGUGGCGGCUUGUAAACCGGAACCGGAGGUGGGUGCUCUACCUUUGGCGGCGGCUUGUAAACCGGAACCGGUGGUGGAUGCUCUAUCUUUGGCGGUUUAGGCGGACAAGGCUUCUUAGGAAUCGGCGGUGGGAGCUCCACCUUUGGAGGUGGUUUGUGAACCGGGACAGGAGGGGGAAGCUCUACCUUUGGAGGUGGCUCGUGAACCGGGACAGGUGGGGGAAGCUCUACCUUAGGCGGUGGCUCGUGAACCGGGACAGGUGGCGGAAGAUCAACCUUUGGGGGUGGGUCGUAAACCGGGACCGGAGGUGGGCAAGGUUUCUUGAAUUUGGGGAACG
This 523-nucleotide long non-coding RNA is filed under the name Eutrema salsugineum. RNAcentral describes it as "long non-coding RNA (ESAL_LNC002002)". Lineage: Eukaryota; Viridiplantae; Streptophyta; Magnoliopsida; Brassicales; Brassicaceae. The record is from RNAcentral.